CCUGGGGAGUACGAUCGCAAGAUUUAAACUCCAAAGGAAUUGACGGGGCCCCCGCACAAGCAACGGAGCAUGCGGCUUAAUUCGACGCAACGCGAAGAACCUUACCAAGGCUUGACAUAUACAGGAAUAUGGCAGAGAUGUCAUAGCCGCAAGGUCUGUAUACAGGUGGUGCAUGGUUGUCGUCAGCUCGUGUCGUGAGAUGUUGGGUUAAGUCCCGCAACGAGCGCAACCCUCGUUCUGUGUUGCCAGCGUUUAGUUGGGGACUCACAGGAGACUGCCGGGGUUAACUCGGAGGAAGGUGGGGAUGACGUCAAAUCAUCAUGCCCCUUAUGUCUUGGGCUGCACGCAUGCUACAAUGGCUGGUACAAACGGCUGCAAUACCGCAAGGUGGAGCGAAUCCGAGAAAGCCAGUCUCCGUUCGGAUUGGGGUCUGCAACUCGACCCCAUGAAGUCGGAGUUGCUAGUAAUCGUAGAUCAGCAACGCUACGGUGAAUACGUUCCCGGGGCUUGUACACACCGCCCGUCACGUCACGAAAGUCGGUAACACCCGAAGUCAGUG
This 559-nucleotide ribosomal RNA is filed under the name uncultured Actinomycetes bacterium. RNAcentral describes it as "bacterial SSU rRNA". It matches the Rfam family "Bacterial small subunit ribosomal RNA", at positions 872 to 1432 of the family's 1533-position model. The record is from RNAcentral. Lineage: Bacteria; Bacillati; Actinomycetota; Actinomycetes.